AUCUAGAGGAAAGUUUAGAGGAU
This 23-nucleotide small nuclear RNA is filed under the name Arabidopsis thaliana (thale cress). Its description in RNAcentral is "snRNA_08855". The record is from RNAcentral. Lineage: Eukaryota; Viridiplantae; Streptophyta; Magnoliopsida; Brassicales; Brassicaceae.